RNAcentral lists this transfer RNA (68 nucleotides) under marine eukaryotic metagenome. It matches the Rfam family "tRNA", at positions 5 to 66 of the family's 71-position model. From Rfam's summary of the family: Transfer RNA (tRNA) molecules are approximately 80 nucleotides in length. Their secondary structure includes four short double-helical elements and three loops (D, anti-codon, and T loops). The record is from RNAcentral.
CCUUAGCUCAGUUGGUUAGAGCGGUGGACUCAUAAUCCAUUGGUCGCAGGUUCAAGUCCUGCAGGGCC